UACGUAGGGGGCAAGCGUUGUCCGGAAUCAUUGGGCGUAAAGAGCGUGUAGGCGGCCAGAUAAGUCCGCUGUGAAAUCUCGAGGCUCAACUUCGAGCUGUCGGUGGAAACUGUCUGGCUAGAGUCCGGAAGAGGAGAAUGGAAUUCCUGGUGUAGCGGUGAAAUGCGCAGAUAUCAGGAGGAACACCGGUGGCGAAGGCGCUCAUCUGGCCCAAUACUGACGCUGAGGCGCGAAAGCUAGGGGAGCAAACGGG
RNAcentral lists this ribosomal RNA (253 nucleotides) under uncultured bacterium. RNAcentral describes it as "partial 16S ribosomal RNA". It matches the Rfam family "Bacterial small subunit ribosomal RNA", at positions 524 to 776 of the family's 1533-position model. The record is from RNAcentral.